This 216-nucleotide ribosomal RNA is filed under the name Rineloricaria sp. NS-2021. Its description in RNAcentral is "partial small subunit ribosomal RNA". The record is from RNAcentral. Lineage: Eukaryota; Metazoa; Chordata; Actinopteri; Siluriformes; Loricariidae.
GGUAAAUCUCGUGCCAGCCACCGCGGUUAUACGAAAGACCCCAGUUUAUAGAUACGGCGUAAAGGGUGGUUAAGGAAAAAUCCAAAAUAGGGCCAAAGACCUCCUAAGCAGUUAUACGCUUCACGAAGACACGAAGCCCAAAUACGAAAGUUGCCUUAAAUAAACUUUACCUGACCCCACGAAAGCUGAAAAACAAACUAGGAUUAGAUACCCCAC